GAGUGUGGACACUGUAACCUCCACAAGUAUUCUGAUCAUUGAAGAGCCACAUUCUUAUUUGAACACAGGAAAGCUAAUCAGGCAUUUUUAGAGCCCACAUGCGACACCCCUCAGACCAUACAAUUCUCUCUCACCUACGUCUUCUAACGACUGCUUCCAUUCCCAGGGAUUCUGAUACCGAGAAGGGGACACCCUGAGCAAAGAGAGUUGUGCGAAGGCCUCAGCUCCCAGCAAACUGGAGAUGGACAACACGGAAUCCUAAAGAGCAGAACCACUUCAGGCUCCACACCCAACAUGGGGCUCGAACUCACCACCGCAAGAUCAAGUGUCGCAAGGUCUACCAACUGAGUCAGCCAGGUGCCCCAACAAAACCAUCUUCCCAAACUUUUUUUGGCCGUAACCUAUAAAAAGAAAUACAUUU
This is a long non-coding RNA of Ailuropoda melanoleuca (giant panda), 421 nucleotides long. RefSeq lists it as uncharacterized. The record is from RefSeq and is a predicted model, not a curated record. The transcript has 3 exons. NCBI's taxonomy places the organism in Eukaryota, Metazoa, Chordata, Mammalia, Carnivora, Ursidae.